This 387-nucleotide transfer-messenger RNA is filed under the name Candidatus Saccharimonadota bacterium. It matches the Rfam family "transfer-messenger RNA". Rfam says of the family: Bacterial tmRNA, also known as 10Sa RNA or SsrA, is named for its dual tRNA and mRNA-like properties. Its role is to liberate the mRNA from a stalled ribosome. The record is from RNAcentral. RNAcentral also lists the same sequence under 1 other name. Lineage: Bacteria; Candidatus Saccharimonadota.
GGGGCUGAAUUUAGCUCGACGUUGGACAUUAACAGGUUAGCUCAGCAGGUCGUUUCCUGAACGUUACUCGGGAAAAUCGAACAAGUGCAACAACUUUUCGUAAUGCAGUAGCUGCAGUUAAGAAUUUCUUGGCUCCUAGCUACGCACCAGCUUACGCCUAAAAAUGUAAGCCACGUAUAUCACGACAUCAGAUAGUGUUUAUAGGUGUUAUAUCAUCUGAUUGCUUGCGUUUUAGUGUCCCCCAAAACGUACUAAGAUUUAGGGACAAACAGUUUGGCCUUUUGGCUGUUUCUAGAACCAAACUGCAACCUCAAACAACCUAAACCUGUAGGACAGACUAACUAGUUAAUCUAGCGGACUGGGGCGCAAUUCCCCACAGCUCCACCA